CCUACGGGUGGCAGCAGUGAGGAAUAUUGGUCAAUGGGCGCGAGCCUGAACCAGCCAAGUAGCGUGAAGGAUGACUGCCCUACGGGUUGUAAACUUCUUUUAUAAAGGAAUAAAGUGACUUACGUGUGCCGUUUUGUAUGUACUUUAUGAAUAAGGACCGGCUAAUUCCGUGCCAGCAGCCGCGGUAAUACGGAGGAUCCGAGCGUUAUCCGGAUUUAUUGGGUUUAAAGGGAGCGUAGACGGGAUGUUAAGUCAGUUGUGAAAUUUUGGGGCUCAACCGUAGCAUUGCAUUUGGAACUGGCGGUCUUGAGUCCGCUUGAGGUAGGCGGAAUUCGUGGUGUAGCGGUGAAAUGCUUAGAUAUCACGAAGAACUCCGAUUGCGAAGGCAGCUUACUACAGCGCCACUGACGCUGAUGCUCGAAAGUGUGGGUAUCGAACAGGAUUAGAUACCCCAGUAGUC
This 460-nucleotide ribosomal RNA is filed under the name uncultured bacterium. RNAcentral describes it as "partial 16S ribosomal RNA". It matches the Rfam family "Bacterial small subunit ribosomal RNA", at positions 338 to 795 of the family's 1533-position model. The record is from RNAcentral.